GCUGGAAUCUCUCGGGGUUACAGCCUUGCUGAAUUAUUCACCCUUGUCUUUUGCGUACUUCUUGUUUCCUUGGUGGGUUCGCCCACCACUAGGACAAACAUAAACCUUUUGUAAUUGCAAUCAGCGUCAGUAACAAAUUAAUAAUUACAACUUUCAACAACGGAUCUCUUGGUUCUGGCAUCGAUGAAGAACGCAGCGAAAUGCGAUAAGUAGUGUGAAUUGCAGAAUUCAGUGAAUCAUCGAAUCUUUGAACGCACAUUGCGCCCUUUGGUAUUCCAAAGGGCAUGCCUGUUCGAGCGUCAUUUGUACCCUCAAGCUUUGCUUGGUGUUGGGCGUCUUGUCUCUAGCUUUGCUGGAGACUCGCCUUAAAGUAAUUGGCAGCCGGCCUACUGGUUUCGGAGCGCAGCACAAGUCGCACUCUCUAUCAGCAAAGGUCUAGCAUCCAUUAAGCCUUUUUUCAACUUUUGACCUCGGAUCAGGUAGGGAUACCCGCUGAACUUAAGCAU
Molecule: ribosomal RNA, 506 nt
Filed under: Alternaria tenuissima
Lineage: Eukaryota; Fungi; Ascomycota; Dothideomycetes; Pleosporales; Pleosporaceae
Description: eukaryotic LSU rRNA
Rfam family: 5.8S ribosomal RNA (bases 149-302)
Source: RNAcentral